UACGUAGGUGACCAGCGUUGUCCGGAUUUACUGGGCGUAAAGAGCGCGCAGGCGGUCGUUCAAGUCGAGUGUGAAAGCCCCCGGCUCAACUGGGGAGGGUCAUUCGAUACUGAUCGACUUGAAGGCAGGAGAGGGAAGUGGAAUUCCCGGUGUAGUGGUGAAAUGCGUAGAUAUCGGGAGGAACACCAGUGGCGAAGGCGGCUUUCUGGACGAUAACUGACGCUGAUGCGCGAAAGCGUGGGGAAGCAAACAGGG
RNAcentral lists this ribosomal RNA (255 nucleotides) under uncultured bacterium. RNAcentral describes it as "partial 16S ribosomal RNA". It matches the Rfam family "Bacterial small subunit ribosomal RNA", at positions 524 to 777 of the family's 1533-position model. The record is from RNAcentral.